Molecule: non-coding RNA, 12771 nt
Organism: Podarcis lilfordi (Lilford's wall lizard)
Lineage: Eukaryota; Metazoa; Chordata; Lepidosauria; Squamata; Lacertidae
Source: the annotation of a GenBank genome assembly
CAACAUCAGGGUCUUUUCCAGGGAGUCUUCUCUUCUCAUGAGGUGGCCAGAGUAUUGGAGCCUCAGCUUCAUGAUCUGUCCUUCCAGUGAGCACUCAGGGCUGAUUUCCUUCAGAAUGGAGUGGUUUGAUCUUCUUGCAGUCCAUGGGACUCUCAAGAGUCUCCUCCAGCACCCUGGCGAAGGGGCUUGAAUAACUCAGAGAAGCUAUGAGUUAUGCCGUGCAGGGCCACCCAAGAUGGACAGGUCAUGGUGGAGAGUUUUGACCAAACGUGAUCCACCUGGAGCAGGAACCGGCAAGCCACUCCAGUAUCCCUGCCAAGAAAAUUCCAUCGACAAAGUGUGCAUAGGAUUGCAAUUUGAAUUGCUUGUGUUAUUCACCCUCUCUUAAGACUUCUAUCAUCCCACCUGCAUUUACAGAUUCCUUCUGGUUCCAAGUCCCUGAAAGUAUUUUGGUCCACUGUGUUAUUUCUGCAUUUUUGUGUGUCCCCCCCACCCCAAGGCAUUUAUAGGUUUGGGCUAAGCUUUCCCUGACCCAUAAGAUGUAACCCUGGUUUAUGUGUUUUGAAACCCCCAGUACCUUUUUUAAAAAAAAAUACAUAUGCUUUUAUAUUUCUGUUUUAUUAGCUUUUAGGCUUGUACUUUUGUUGUAAUGAUAUUGUUUGUUUUUAUAUUGUGCACCGCUUAGAAAUUUUUUAAAAUAUUAAGCAAUUUAUAAAUCCUUUUAUAUAAAAUUUAUAAACUAUACAACAAUAUUAGGGACAUUAUUGCUGAUCUCAGCUGUGGGCAAAGAGAACGGCACAGAAUAACAAGAAGCACGGAGAGAAAGGAAAUGUUUUCUAACAUGCGAGAACUAAACACUCACAUCCUAUUAAAAUGUUAAAGGGGAUUUCUUAAUUAAAUUACAAACUCUACACAGUGUUAUGGAAUUUAGUUUUUGAGCCCAGUAUGACAUAAAUUGACUUUGGUUAAAGUGUUUCUAUGGACUUUGGAAUAAUCAUUGUUCAUUAACAUAAAUGAAAACCCAGUUCUAAUCUUCACUUUCACUUAGACGUUAUACAUGUUUCUGUAGAUGCCAUUUUUAUUGCUGCUAAUGUUUUUUAAUCAAAAGGUGAGUCCUGUAGAGCCUCAUUGCAAGGAAUGAGUAUGUUUGUGAUGGAUUCAGAAUCCAUUCCGCUUUAUACCAAUCACUUUUGAGACACUGACUACCCUCUUUUGAAAGUCUGAAGGCAAUGUGGAAGGGAAAGCUGGUGGAACCUCCAGACCCAGUUUUAUUGGGGGUGGUGGUGGAAAUCUGAUAUGCCAAGCCAUUUUCAGUUUCAGUCAAUAUACGGGAGACCUCUCUCAAAGUGGUAUACCGGUGGUUCCAUACACUGGCCAGGCUUACCCAUAUUUUGGGUCUUUGGUCUAGACCAGGAGUCAGCAACCUUUUUCAGCCAUGGGCUGGUUCACCGUCCCUCAGACCAUGUGGUUGGCCGGACUAUAUGGUUUUUUUUGGGGGGGAAAGAACGAAUUCCUAUGCCCCACAAGUAACCUAGAGAUGUAUUUUAAAUAAAAGAACACAUUCUACUCAUGUAAAAACACACAGAUUCCUGGAGCAUCCGCGGGCCGGAUUGAGAAGGCGAUUGGGCCACAUCCAGCCCCCGGGCCUUAGGUUGCCUACCCCUGGUCUAGACUCUAGUAGCUCUUGGUGGGGCUGCCCAGAUAAGGUCACUUAGUGGGGUGCACUAGAACUAGUAUAUUGUGCAGAAACGAAAGGUACACUAUUGCAUGCAUGCAAAACCAGGCUGUAAAGGGAAGAUGCAGAUUUUACAUUGAGCUCGUGGUUCGAAACUUGGCUGGAGGCAUUUAAUGCCUCUUAUAAAGUGAGAAAACAAAUGACUGUGUUACAAUACUUGACGUAGAAAGAAUACACUCAUGAGUACAUAGAUCAUGAAAGCAUGUCUAACUUGUUAAAAGAAGGUAGUUCAUAGCGUGUAAAUGGAGCUGCGUUGGAAUAGGCUCAAAUUACAUUUUUUCGAAUGUUCAAAAGGGAAUCUGUAAAGCACUCUUUGAAACUGAUGGCUUGGGGACUUGGCUGUGGGGAGGCUUCUAGGCACAUAGCUUCUGAAUUCAUUGUUCUCCAAGUGGAACUCUGCCUUUAAUUUCAGACUCAAAUGACCUUGAAAAUUCAGUUGCCUGUGUGCCGGAUAUUCACACUGAAUGGCCUCAUUUGUAGCUAAAUCAGAUGCAGAUUACAGAUACAUAAUUUUCUUGGUUUAUUUGGCUGCCUCAGCAUAUUUGAUUUGAUUGUGUGUGUGUGUGUGUGAUGCAUGGAUAAAUUUGGAGCUAAAAAGGAAGUGUCCUAAGUAAACUGCAGAUUUUAAUGUUAGAGUAAUAAACUAGCUCGCAACUAGGGAAUAUAUCACUGGAAACGCUUUAAAAAGAUUAAUGGAUUUUAUUGCAGAAGUGCAUUGUUUUAGGGGGGAGGAAAGAACAAUAGUAUUUACUUAUUAUAGAGGACUGCCAAAACCUCAUAGAUUAUUGCAUCUUUUUCUUUUAACCAAUUAAUUAGCUGACUGGAAUAAAGCAGUAUCUUAUUACAGACUACAUACAUCAUCGUGUGUGUGUGUGUGUGUGUGUGUGUGUGUGUUUUGUGACCAGACAACAAAUAUGAGGUAUACUUGAUUCCAGAUGGUUGACCAUGUUAUUUUACUGAAAUCAAAACAGGAGAGCAUAUGGUGUCUUCUUGCACAAACAUUUGUGGAUUGGUGCAUUUAUCAGAUGCAUGACAUUAUCCCCAGAUGACAGGUAUAUAAUUUCUAAAUACAAACAUAGGUAUGGAGGAAAGAAAGUGCAAACAUUGGGACUUGAAGUCCAUGAAGUGCAAGAAUGUGGUAAGCAAAGCUCAAACGUAUGCAAGGUAACAACAGCAUCCAUUUACAAUGGUAGUAAUUGGUGGCAACAGGUUUCUUGAGACACUGACUACCCUCUUUUGAAAGUCUGAAGGCAAUGUGGAAGGGAAAGCUGGUGGAAACUCCAGACCCAGUUUUAUUGGGGGGGGUGGUGGUGGUGGAAAUCUGGUAUGCCAAGCCAUUUUCAGUUUCAGUCAAUAUACGGGAGACCUCUCUCAAAGUGGUAUACCGGUGGUUCCAUACACUGGCCAGGCUUACCCAUAUUUUGGGUCUUUGGUCUAGACCAGGAGUCAGCAACCUUUUUCAGCCAUGGGCUGGUUCACCGUCCCUCAGACCAUGUGGUUGGCCGGACUAUAUGGUUUUUUUGGGGGGGAAAGAACGAAUUCCUAUGCCCCACAAAUAACCUAGAGAUGUAUUUUAAAUAAAAGGACACAUUCUACUCAUGUAAAAACACACAGAUUCCUGGAGCAUCCGCGGGCCAGAUUGAGAAGGCGAUUGGGCCACAUCCAUCCCCCGGGCCUUAGGUAGCCUACCCCUGGUCUAGACUCUAGCAGCUCUUGGUGGGGCUGCCCAGAUAAGGUCACUUAGUGGGGUGCACUAGAACUAGUAUAUUGUGCAGAAACGAAAGGUACACUAUUGCAGGCAUGCAAAACCAGGCUGUGGAAAAACAGAGCCAGUGUGGUAUAGUGGUUAAGAGCGGUAGUCUCAUAAUCUGGGGAACCGGGUUCGCGUCUCCGCUCCUCCACAUGCAGCUGCUGGGUGACCUUGGGCCAGUCACACUUCUUUGAAGUCUCUCAGCCCCACUCACCUCACAGAGUGUUUGUUGUGGGGGAGGAAGGGAAAGGAGAAUGUUAGCCGCUUUGAGACUCCUUAAAGGGAGUGAAAGGCGGGAUAUCAAAUCCAAACUCCUCUUCUUCUUCUUCUUCUUCUUCUUCUUCUUCUUUCAAAAUUUGGGGUAUGGGUGUGUGCUUAACAGCUGUAGUGUGUGGGGAGGGGAGGGGAAUGGAAAUGUUCUCUCACUGAUUUCUGAAUACUUCCAUCUAUUUAUAUUAGGUUUGUGUCCAUUUACUUCUUCUGCAGAGUAGUAUAUAUUGAUUUGUUUCUUAAUUUCAUUGAGUGAGUAUUAUCCUUUUUAGAAUGUGUGAUGCAAAUCCUUUAAAUGUGAGUCUGAGGAAUAGGAGCAACUGAAAAUGGAGGCAUUAAACCAGGCUUCCUCAACCUCGGCCCUCCAGAUGUUUUUGGCUUGCAACUCCCAUGAUCCCUAGCUAGCAGGACCAGUGGUCAGGGAUGAUGGGAAUUAUAGUCUCAAAACAUCUGGAGGGCCAAGGUUGAGGAAGCCUGUGUUAAACAAUCUCCUGCUGUGGCUGGAUAUACCAUCUUAUGGUUCAAUGCCAUAUGCAGAAAAGGUUAUGGUGGUACUCACUGAUUCAUCUUUGUCAGUGGUGACUCAAGUAGCUCGCUUUGGCUGGUACAUUAGCAACAUUCAUUCAUGGGCCAGGAUAACCUCACCAUUGUGGUCCAUACACUGGUAAUCUCAAGACGUGAUUGAUGCCCUUGAUGCUGCUGUUAGUGCUAUGAGGCUGCUGCUGGAGCUAAAUGUUGUCAACAUGUUGUACCUAGGCUGAAGCAGUUGUGUUGACUAAUUUUAGGUUACUGGGCCAGGUUCAAGGUGUUGCUAAUUGUUUCAAAAGCCCUAAAAACAUGGAACAAUGCUGCUUGAGAGACCAUUGCUCCUCUUAUGCCCCUGCAUCUCAAAGUAAAGGACCACCUGGUGGCAUCAAGAGCUCCUACUAUUUGCCUCAUGUCUACCAGUGUUAAUCUCCAGUACUAGUAAAUCCAAGCUCUGAUUGAAGGACCCAGCUGAUACAUUGUCGAGGACUUGCCAUGGCAUGCACUACUUUCCACCUAGCAGUUUAUUGUGGAGUUUGUGGGGCUGAUGCUCAGAAGGUUUUCUCAGUGUCCUCACAAUGCUGCCCUCAUCAAAACACCAGCCCAUACCUUUCACCCUCCCUUAAUCCAGAUUGAGACUAUUUUUAUAAAAAACAAAUGUAACAAACAUAUACAUAUUUUAAAAUAAUUUAAUAUGCCCUUCCAAAACUCCCCUGGCAGAAGAGUGAAUCCUUUAGAAGGCCAUGUGGUCUUCCACUAUUGGGCAGAUGUACAGAAGCUCAUGGUCUCCAACUGUCCUGAAAAUGCCAGGACCGUCGUGAAAACUUGUAGGCCAUCACGGCUUCUCACUUAUUCGUGCAGAGUCCUGAAUUCCCCUUCUUUGCUGAGGUACGCUAACUGGAAAUGGCUUCAUGGGGGGGGGGAGUGGGAUGCGAGGGGAGAGAGUUGCUUACUGAGGCCUCCUUGUCCUCAUUUGCUGUUGCUCCUGGGAGUUCGUAGUGAAGGAAGAAUCUUGUGCCUGGUCCGAGGGAAGGAGCUAGGUGGGCAGAAAGAGCUGGAAGCAGCAGCAGUAGCAGGAAGAGGAGGUGGCAGCCUCAGUAAGCAACUCUCUCUUCCCGCAUCCCAUGGGAAAUAUAAGCAAAUAUUCACCUUAGUAUAGGGUAAAGGUAAAGGGACCCCUGACCAUUAGGUCCAGUCACAGACAACUCUGGGAUUGUGGCGCUCAUCUCGCUUUACUGGAUUUGAACUGCUGACCUUCUGAUCGGCAAGUCCUAGGCUCUGUGGUUUAACCCACAGUGCCACUCGCGUCCCUCCUAGGAUAGUGUAGGAAAGCUUAUAUACGUUUCCGAAGUCGCCGAUUGCAUAACCAAGCAUCUGGGGCAUGUGCUGCCAUUGGACACAGCAGAGAUAUCAAGGGCAGAGUUAGGUCUGCUUUAUGGGCAGUCUAACCAGAAGAAGCCAAAACUUUAAAAGGAUAGAUUAUUGUGAACUUUGGUCCCUACAGAGAAUUUUUAAUCAAAAUGCAAAUGUGGAGAGAAAUUGAAACAGAUACUUUAACAUUUGGCUCAGCAGGACUACCUCCAGUUCCUACCAGUAAAUCCCUUUUGUUCUAAUUUCCCUGGUCUGGGGGAAUCUGGGCAAAAUCUCAGGGACUUCAGUGAUGGUAACUUUAAAGCUGGCGCUGAUAAGAAAAGCAUCUUUGCACAAAGGCUUGUUAACGUUUUAUUCUGCUCUUUCUCCCAGGAGACUGUGGCAGCGUGUGUUGUUUGGCCCUGUCCAUUUUAUCUUCACAACAACGCUGAGAGAUAGUGACUGCCCAAACAUCACCCAGUGAGAUUCAUGGCUGAGAGGGGAUUUGAUCUCUGAUUUCCCCUGAAACUUGAGCCACUACGUCAUGAGCUGAGAUGAUGUGACAUUAUUCAUGGGUAGCUCCCAAGCUCCAUAGACAUAUGGUCUGGACAUAGUUGGCUUGCUAAGUCAGAUGUGUUCACAAGCAGGGCCAAGAACACUGAGAAGAAUGGAUAAUCUCUUUCCUUUUCUCAGUCUCUUCUAGCCCCCGUGAAUUCCUGCAGGUCUUGUCUAUUCAUUUUCUCCUUCCCAGCUUGUAACAAAAUUCAUUGCUGGUUACUGAAUUUUUAUCUGAACUAUUAAUUCUACCAGAAAAUAAUAAUUUCGUGUAAGGUAUAUAACAGAGUAGACCUGUCUCUCUUGCGUCUUUUGCAAAACUUGUAUUACACACAUUUAAACUUUUUUGAAAUUGAUGUAGGUGAUUUGUGGGUGAUGCAUCAAUUAAAAAAGGGUCAUAUUAGAAUGCUGCUAUGCUUGUCCAGCUGCAACUUCAGUUACUGCAGGAGAAACUCUCAUUUGUUUGCAGGAGAAGGAGAUGGAAAUAAGUGCGCUUGCUAAAUAAUGUAUACUUUGGGAAUCAAAAUGCAAGAGUAGCUCAUAACCCAGUGUCUAAAUCUACCACCUGGUAAACUGUGCUUGAAAGAGAGUGAAGGAUCACUGAUGCAACCUGUAUCUUGGCGGUAACGAAUGUAUUGCUGAGUCAGUUUUAAGCCAAACCAUCAGAUACUGGCUGUGCCAGUAAUUCAAAGCAAAUGGUGGGGGAAUCAAGGCGGCAGCUCAGUGGGCUGUUGUCUUAAAAGUUUCAUAAACCUUCAAUCAAUCAGACCCUCCCCUGAGUCACUUUGCCAACUCUGUUCCUUUAUCUUCAACAGACAACAGGCUGUUUCUUUGACCAGGAAGAUAUAUCUUAAGGGAGAAAAACAACACUGCCACUUUUCACGCUAUUGUUUGGCUAGGUAAUGGAAGUUUGUGUCCGGCUGUACCUAGAUUCCUGUCGCAGGUACAAAACCACUAUCUUUUCCCUUGAGUUAUUGCAUUCAGCUCUGGAGAAGGGGAAAAUGUUGUUUUUCAACCUUUUCUUUUUUCCUCUUUGCUGCUUACUGUCCAUCCUGGCUUUGGAUGUCUUUAUACGAGGUCCUCUUUACAGGUCAGAACCAGCGUGGAACUGUCUCAGCCAAAACGAAAUCCCAUUAUACCGUAUUGGCCCGACUAUAAGCCGCACCCGCAAAUAAGCUGCACCUUCAAAAUUCAAGGCUCAUUUGCGGGUGCGGCGCACCUCCCGCCACUACCGCCCUGAACGGGGGACAAGGGGUGGCCGGUGCCGGUGCUCGGCUCUGAAUAUAAGCAGCACUUUAACUUUUCACAGUCGGAAUUGGGGGGGGGAAGUGCGGCUUAUAUUCGGGCCAAUAUGAUAGGUAGGCAGGAAAGUGAACCAAACCCAGAGAUCUUCUUUUGCUGCUGUAGUUAUUCUAAUGAGAUUACAGGGAGCUGAUGCUCCUGCCAUGGACUUGGCCAUAUUGUCUCCCCUGCUCUAGGACCAUGAAAGGACUUUCGCCUUCCCCACUCACACAUUGAACAAUAUUGACUAGACCUUGCGGAGAGAAAGCUUUGACCUGACAAAAAACAUAGAAGUUGAAACCCUGCUUUUCCCCAAAUCCCUUUUCUCUCCCUGUAGGCAAGGCAAAAGGGCCCCUUUGGAAGUUUAUGUUGGUUUGACUUGGGCCUAGGGAACCAGGGAAGACAGUGUAUGAGUAUGAAUAGCAGGCACCCCCAAACUUGGCCCUCCAUUUGUUUUGGGACUAUAACUCCCAUCAUCCCUAGCUAACAGGACCAGUGGUCAGGGAUGAUGGGAAUUGUAGUCCCAAAACAUCUGGAGGGCCGAGUUUUUCCUAUGCCUGAUGUAUAGGCUUCUCUGUCACAUGAUGACCCAACUUCAUUUCAUUUUUGUUUUCAUGUUAAAGCCACACUCUUUUUGUUUUACCUUCAUUUUGAUUACCUUCAUUGUCUACCUUCCAUUCUUGUUUUUUGAUUGAUGCUUUGUGGAGUCUCUCUCUCACACCCACCCACACAUAGGUCUUUUGCUCCCUUCAUCUUUGGCAUUUUUUUGCCUAAAUGGCAUGCAAUUUGCAGGCAUCUUAUCUGUUUUGGGGCAGAUGGAACAAAACAAAUGUGAUAAACAAACAAGCAAAAUGUAGAAAACAAAACUGAAUGUGCUCUUGUUGGUUUUCCAUCUUCAUUUUUUUAUUUUUCUACAUUCAUUUUACUUCUGAACAAAUGUGGGUGCAUUCAUUUCAUUUUUCAAUUUUUUAAAACACACCCCAAAGUGAAGAGCUUUUUAUUUGCACAGCCCUUUCAGAGCUGUCAGCUCUAAUGAGUUUUAGUGCUGGAAUUAUCUUUCCUGCUGUUUUAUCGUGUUCUUUUAUUAUUCUGUAUUCUUGACGUUUCCCCUCCCCCCCUCCCCCAUGCUUUUAAUUCUGUUAGCCGAUCUGGGAACUUGCUUCUUGAGGAGAGGGGUGAGAAGCUUUGCAAAUAAAUAAAAAAGUUACAGAUCCCUACAUCGUAAGGGGCUUGUUUUGUGCAGAGUUUAGCACAUCAUAUGCAGCGUUUAUUAAGGAUAAUCAUUUUCCGACUGUUGUGCUGCAUCUGGUGGAUUCAUAGGAUCCUAUAAGCCAGUGCACAUAAGCACCACCUUAAAUGCUUGGGGGCAGGGGAGGAAGUGGCCUGGCAAGUGGUACGUGGAUGGCUGAUAAUGUUAGGUAUAAAUGUUGGGUUUGGCGGCAUUUAAGUAGAAUGAUAUAGGAUGGUAUUUCUAAAAAUGCAUGUCGUGCGUAGAACCCUUUUAUUCACAGCUGUUGCUGAUGCUUUUGAAUUUAGUCUCAAUUAGCACUCUAUAGCAAUCUUCUGAGCAACCUAUCACAUUGGAUUACAGAUUAUAUCGACACAGAGAAAAAUGAAUUCUCAAAGAUUUGUGCUUUUGCAUUGAGUUGACGUUACUCAAUUAUAAGUACAUUAGCAAAUUGCAGUCGUCCAGUGUUGUGCCGGGGCAUUCAACGAACCCUUCUAGCUUCCAUUAAUGGUAAUGGGAAUUCUCUGUCCAAUUUGUGUCACAUCACACAGACUGUUCGGUGCUUCAGUCGGCCAUAAACUUUUUUUGUCAAAAGUUCAAGGUUGACUUUUAAAGGAACAUUGGCUUUUCCUCCUGCAAGGGCUUUAGGGUGGCUGAACUCAAGCCGUUGAAUUCAGAUUUGUUUCUCCCCAGGAAAAGGUAUGUCCUAAUGCUAAGCUCGCUAAAACUACCUUCCAGUGCUCUGCAAGAGCAGUGUCAAAAUACGCAUGUGUGGUUGUGCAAAGGAAAUUGAGAAGCCUAAGGUGUGUGCCGUGUUGUGUGCCUUGUACUUUCUUCAUGCACAAUAGGAUAUUUAACUUGUGGCAGACUAUUCUAGCAGUAUUCAAGGUGAUAUUUACUGAGACCUUUAUGAGUGCCCUAGGAGGCGUCAGCAGGCACUGCGUCAAAUAACAUGCCAUACAUGCAUUUAAAAUGUUGGACUGAUAAAAUAUAAGGACCCAUUUCAGCUCCUGUCAUCACAAGUAAAAAACAAAAAGGCUCAAACAGGCUAUCUCCACCACCCAAAUGUCCCCCUGGACUCAGGCACGGGCACAACCCACUUUCAGGGGUUGACCAAACCAUCGAGUCCCUGGAUUCCUUUAACGGAAUACCCUUCACAUAGGGAUGGCAAGAGCGUUCUCCCAUCCCUAUCACCUGAACCAGAGCCUAUCCGCAACCUUACAAGUUGUGACGAUUUGCUACGUGGCAGGCGAAACCCAAAUGGCAACAGCCAAUCGGCUAAGUGGGAAAAUUCCUGCCGUGCCCCUGUCCCAACGACAGACGACACACGCCAGCAUAGCAAGGUCAAGCGCAGAAGCUCUAAAAGUAGGGAGAGGUGGGCGGGUGUUCCGAAUGCACGCGCCGAAAGAGGAAGCUCUGGGUCACGUUCAUGGGCAUAAAUAGGUCCCUCGAUUCCUUUGGACUCUGCCCCAUUGGCCCAAUUGAACCCAGCAUUGAGGGACCUACCAAUCAGGUGUUGUGGCUGACCAAUCAAACCCACCCAGAACACAGGGUGUCGGUUUCCAGGUCUCACUACAAUACAUGCCCUCUUUAAGGGAGGACCCAAUCUACUGUUUCUGCUGCUGUGGCCCGCCUUGGCAAGGUCUCACAUGCGACCAUCACUACUGCUGCUUAGGGAAACAUUUUGCCAUUACAGUGGUACCUCAGGUUACAUACGGUUCAGGUUACAGACGCUUCAGGUUAUUGAUUCCGCUAACCCAGAAAUAGUACCUCGGGUUAAGAACUUUGCUCUGGUGCUUCAGGUUAAGAAUAGUUUCAGGUUAAGAACGGACCUCUGGAACAAAUUAGUAUGUAACCAGAGGUACCACUGUAAUCCUAAAAUAUUUGCCAUUGUUUCCCAUCUUGUGCCCCUGGGAUGGAGGUAGGCUAAAAAACCACCACCACCACCUUAGUAAACAAACUCUUGUAUCAGGAAGUUGCUGCUACUUUCUUUUGAUUACCUUGAAUUAACUUUUAGCUUGUCCUUUGAAAAUCACUGCUCUUCCUUUUCUUCUAAAGUAGAUUCCGUACAAUUUCCGUGCCCGAGAUUGUCUUGCUUUGAACAAAGAGGCUUGCAAAAAUAUUAAAAAAUCUCUCCAGGUUUUAAUAACUCUGCAUCUUGGGCUAGAUAUAAAGCUUGAUUAGACUCACUCUAUUGUUACACGUAAUUAAAUUCUUGCCUGCCUCUAGCUUGGGAGGAUCUUCUGAUUUAAUAUGUAUUUUCUUCGGCGGAACAACACUGAAUGCCUUUUAAUUUAUGGCCUUGGCAUUCAUAUUACUGCUGCAUUUGUCAGGGCAUCGGAUGUUGCUGUUGCACUUGGGCCUCUUUCAGCUGGAAGAGCUCAAAAGUGAACACAGUUUACAAUGAGAAGUACAAGAUGGGUCCUAUAGAGAAAGAGAGUGAAUUCUUCUCCUAGUGUCAAAGGCCACCAGAAGAGAUUUCCAAACCAUCUUCAAGAGUUUCAACUAACAAGGCCCACCAGCACAAUGGGGCUUUCCUCCCCUAAAAAUGGCUUGGGGGUGUGUGUGUCAGGUUAACCUCCAGAACACUAUCUUAAAGAGGCAAAGCAAAGUACUAUCUUAUAAUGGUUGAUAAACACCACAUGGGAGAGAGGACAGGGGGUUCCUUUUGGCAAGCUAAAAAGCUUGCACACUGACAGAACGAUUGCUGUAGCACUCCAUUGGAUUUCUCCCAGUAUUGAGAAUAGUACAAAUGACACCAUACCUGGGUAAAAAUGACAGUAGGUCUGUCAUCUUCCAGAAACGGUAUCGUUGGUGUAGUAGCUAAAAUUUGUGUAUUGUAAUACACAAGAUGUAGAUUUACUUUCUCCUUCUUUCUAUCUCUUUUCUCCCCAGAUUUUCUAGAUUCCUCCUCAUGUGGAGCAAAUUACAUUCACAUGUUGAUACGCUUUGCUCUCAAGGGCCCCUUAUCCUUUUGCUGAAUAUGUGGCUGGCAAAUGGGGGAGUACGAACUGAGCUGGGGGCAGAGCUUCAACGACAUUGUUUGGUUUUUCCCCCCCUUUGUGAUGCCCCCCUUUAAAGCUCUUGUUACUUUGAUAAUGUAACCCCAUGUUUGGAUUGCUAUUAUUUCAGUUUAUCACUUGCCCUUCGUCAUACUUUUUUGUCCCCCACCCAAAACCCCCCACAGUUAAUCCUUUGCACAAUGCUUUAACUCCAUUUUCUACCCAUAAGCAUCUGACACUGCUUUUACUGAUAGGGCAUAAAUUUUUUUGACAACUUAGAAUAAUAACUAACAUACCCAUGGUAGGAGGGUGUGGGAAGGCUUUAGGUAUUCAGGGUUGGAGCCAGCAAAGUCAUUCCGUGGGUGGAAUGACUUCCUCUCAUUGCAAAUGGAGCUUGUUCUCCCUCUUUUCUCACUGUGCAUUCCCCACAUCUUCUCCCAAGUGUUGGGAGAAACCCAGGAGCAGAUUUGCUUUGGUGGGGGAGAGAGAGGAAAUGGCCAUUUCAUCACACAAGUGGAAGUCAUUCCACUCGUGCAAUGACUUCAUUGAAUAAACCCCAUGCGUUGAUUCUGAGCGAAGGAUACUUUGGUUUUCUAAUGACGUUGUCCUCCCGAGGUUAUAAUGCAUGUUGUUGUUGUUUAGUUGUUUAGUCGUGUCCGACUCUUCGUGACCCCAUGGACCAGAGCAUGCCAGGCACUCCUGUCUUCCACUGCCUCCCGCAGUUUGGUCAAACUCAUGCUGGUAGCUUCGCAAACACUAUCCAACCAUCUCAUCCUCUGUCGUCCCCUUCUCCUUGUGCCCUCCAUCUUUCCCAACAUCAGGGUCUUUUCCAGGGAGUCUUCUCUUCUCAUGAGGUGGCCAUAGUAUUGGAGCCUCAGCUUCACGAUCUGUCCUUCCAGUGAGCACUCAGGGCUGAUUUCCUUAAGAAUGGAGAGGUUUGAUCUUCUUGCAGUCCAUGGGACUCUCAAGAGUCUCCUCCAGCACCAUAAUUCAAAAGCAUCAAUUCUUCGGCGAUCAGCCUUCUUUAUAGUCCAGCUUUCACUUCCAUACAUUACUACUGGGAAAACCAUAGCUU